This 76-nucleotide microRNA precursor is filed under the name Myotis davidii. RNAcentral describes it as "mir-9229 microRNA precursor family". It matches the Rfam family "mir-9229 microRNA precursor family". The record is from Rfam by way of RNAcentral. Lineage: Eukaryota; Metazoa; Chordata; Mammalia; Chiroptera; Vespertilionidae.
GAGACAACCUUAUGGGGCAAAACUUGCUUCAGUAGUGCUUUGGUGCUCACUGAGUCUGCCCCCUGAGUGUGUCCCU